AUUGAACGCUGGCGGCAGGCCUAACACAUGCAAGUCGAGCGGAUGAAGGGAGCUUGCUCCUGGAUUCAGCGGCGGACGGGUGAGUAAUGCCUAGGAAUCUGCCUGGUAGUGGGGGAUAACGUCCGGAAACGGGCGCUAAUACCGCAUACGUCCUGAGGGAGAAAGUGGGGGAUCUUCGGACCUCACGCUAUCAGAUGAGCCUAGGUCGGAUUAGCUAGUUGGUGGGGUAAAGGCCUACCAAGGCGACGAUCCGUAACUGGUCUGAGAGGAUGAUCAGUCUCACUGGAACUUAGACACGGUCCAGACUCCUACGGGAGGCAGCAGUGGGGAAUAUUGGACAAUGGGCGAAAGCCUGAUCCAGCCAUGCCGCGUGUGUGAAGAAGGUCUUCGGAUUGUAAAGCACUUUAAGUUGGGAGGAAGGGCAGUAAGUUAAUACCUUGCUGUUUUGACGUUACCAACAGAAUAAGCACCGGCUAACUUCGUG
This 484-nucleotide ribosomal RNA is filed under the name uncultured bacterium. Its description in RNAcentral is "partial 16S ribosomal RNA". It matches the Rfam family "Bacterial small subunit ribosomal RNA", at positions 30 to 507 of the family's 1533-position model. The record is from RNAcentral.